CUUAAGUAGCUAAAAGGAAAUUUUACCCGAGUGCAGCGUUCUUUUGUCGCUCGCUUAAAAAAAAAAUGCAGCUAUAGUUACAAUACAAAUUCUGGCACUGCACUGAACUCAAACCUUUUACCGACAAACAUAACAGAAGACAGACAUAGCAUAAGAGGAAUCAGUACGGCAAGCAAAAGCAGCGUUAAGAGUGUCGGGAUUAAUUGAACAUUCACGACAGUCACUGACAUGCACAUGACGAAUUUUUAUAUUACUCCACAAAACAUUAUUCCGGAGAAGAGGGUUUAGCAUUUUCGAGAAGUACUUACGGUUUUCACGCCUAAAUAAAGGCCAGUAUGCAGCUCUCAAGAAAAGCAAAAACUCCAUUAAAAAUUACGCACAGGAAAUAGGUCCAAAACGUUGUCACCAAAACAAUCAAACCGAAAUUUUUUGUACAGAGGACAUACUCCAAUCAAAUGAUAGGUUUCUUCAAUAGCACUUAAAUUGCAAACUGAGCAGUUUACAGAAGCGACAUUUUUAAAAGAUCUUGCAAUAAGAGUUAGCAAGCCACUCCUUGCGCGGAAAAUCAUCGUUAAAGUCCAAAACGUUGUCACCAAAACAAUCAAACCGAAAUUUUUUGUACAGAGGACAUACUCCAAUCAAAUGAUAGGUUUCUUCAAUAGCACUUAAAUUGCAAACUGAGCAGUUUACAGAA
Rhagoletis pomonella (apple maggot) is the source of this 694-nucleotide long non-coding RNA. RefSeq lists it as uncharacterized. Lineage: Eukaryota; Metazoa; Arthropoda; Insecta; Diptera; Tephritidae. The transcript is spliced from 3 exons. The record is from RefSeq and is a predicted model, not a curated record.